AGGUGGUAUUGAGUAUGUAUGCUUUUUUCCUCUUUUUCUAGGCUGCAAUUAGAGGAUUCAUUCAUGAUUCAGCAAAAGGCUACAACAAUACAGAAUCUGAAUAGUUUUUUUUUUUUUUUUUUUUUUUUUUUUUGUUAGAUGACGUAAGUCAUAUUAAAACUUAUGGAUGAACAACUUCCCAGUUAUUUUUCCCAAUAAACUACUAAGAUGUGGUAUAUGUAAUUUGUUUGAUCACUUCUUACAUCUUUUCAAAGUGCAAUAUAAGGAUACUUUUUCUACUCAAAUUGGUAUCUUGGACAGUCUUUUACCCUUGUGGCAAAAUUCUGAAACAUAUUUUCUUAAGUUGAUCCUUCUCAUUGAGAGGUGAAACAAGAUUAUAUAAGAAAGCACAAAUUUGAUUCAUUAUUUUGAAUAACUGUCUUUCUUAUGCUCAUUUUCCCUUUAAAGUGAAGUAAAAAAGCACGUGUUUCUCUAUCAAUGCUUGGUAUUCAUAUGCAUAAUUGUCGACAACUUUUUAAUAAUAACUUGCAAUGUGUAAUGAUGGUGCCUUGUAAAAUAUCAUUGAUGUUCAAUUUAAUUGUUACCAACUUUGAUAAAUGUGUAUAUGAUGGAAGACAGUGUUCAGAGCAGGAAGCAUUGGAAGAUGUUUAAAAGGCAAAUUUAUGCUUUGGCAACUUUUACCUAGAAUAUGUGAAAGAAAAACCUAGUAUUGGUAAACCUAUUACCCGUAAGUUGACCUAGUUCUACAAAUAUUUUCAAUCAUAUUAUCACAUUGUGACAAGUUUUUUCAAGCAUACUACAAUUGAAGUGAUAAUGUAAUAUCAUUAAUAACAUCUAGUGAAACAUUAGCUAGUCUAUGAACUGUGAGUAAGACAUUGUUUUUUACAUUAACAUAAGGUGAAAAAUUCAAUAAUCAGUAAUAUGUCAUUGAAAUUGUGUGGUUGACAAAAGAUAGUUUUUGGGUUUCAUUUCUAUUGCUAACCUUAAUUUACUAAUGAUUACAUUAUACCGUUUCAUCGUACUUGCAAAUAUUUGUUUCACAUCCCAACGGGGAGAAGUAUUCUAGUGUGCUAUGCCCAAAGAGUCUUGAAGUGUUAAAGUAAGAAUGUACUUUUAAUUUAUUUUUCCAGAUAACUUGAUAUGUGAAAUUAGUAAUGAUUUCAAGUGAUGCUCCCCACCCCACCUUUUUUCUC
This 1193-nucleotide long non-coding RNA is filed under the name Olea europaea (common olive). RNAcentral describes it as "long non-coding RNA (OEUR_LNC011625)". The record is from RNAcentral. Lineage: Eukaryota; Viridiplantae; Streptophyta; Magnoliopsida; Lamiales; Oleaceae.